GUAACAAGGUCUCCGUUGGUGAACCAGCGGAGGGAUCAUUACUGAGUUACCGCUCUAUAACCCUUUGUGAACAUACCUACAACUGUUGCUUCGGCGGGUAGGCCGUCCCCUGAAAAGGACGCCUCCCGGCCCGGACCGGACCCCCCGCGGGACCGGACCCGGCGCCCGCCGGAGGAUAACCAAACUCUAUUGUAACGACGUUUCUUCUGAGUGGCAUAAGCAAAAUAAUCAAAACUUUUAACAACGGAUCUCUUGGUUCUGGCAUCGAUGAAGAACGCAGCGAAAUGCGAUAAGUAAUGUGAAUUGCAGAAUUCAGUGAAUCAUCGAAUCUUUGAACGCACAUUGCGCCCGCCAGCAUUCUGGCGGGCAUGCCUGUUCGAGCGUCAUUUCAACCCUCAAGCUCUGCUUGGUGUUGGGGCUCUACGGUCGACGUAGGCCCUCAAAGGUAGUGGCGGACCCUCCCGGAGCCUCCUUUGCGUAGUAACAUUUCGUCUCGCACUGGGAUCCGGAGGGACUCUUGCCGUAAAACCCCCCAAUUUCCAAAGGUGACCUCGGAUCAGG
RNAcentral lists this ribosomal RNA (561 nucleotides) under Colletotrichum sp. JK108. Its description in RNAcentral is "eukaryotic LSU rRNA". The stretch from base 233 to 386 matches the Rfam family "5.8S ribosomal RNA". Lineage: Eukaryota; Fungi; Ascomycota; Sordariomycetes; Glomerellales; Glomerellaceae. The record is from RNAcentral.